RNAcentral lists this ribosomal RNA (250 nucleotides) under uncultured bacterium. RNAcentral describes it as "partial 16S ribosomal RNA". It matches the Rfam family "Bacterial small subunit ribosomal RNA", at positions 1253 to 1500 of the family's 1533-position model. The record is from RNAcentral.
ACUCGCGAGAGUAAGCUAAUCUCUUAAAGCCGUUCUCAGUUCGGACUGUAGGCUGCAACUCGCCUACACGAAGUCGGAAUCGCUAGUAAUCGCGGAUCAGCAUGCCGCGGUGAAUACGUUCCCGGGCCUUGUACACACCGCCCGUCACACCAUGAGAGUUGGGGAUACCCGAAGCCUGUGAGCUAACUAUUUAUAGGAGCAGCAGUCGAAGGUAGAAUCAAUGAUUGGGGUGAAGUCGUAACAAGGUAAC